CCACGGUGCUGAAGCAACAAAUGCCCUGCUUCCAGGAAAAGCCUCUAAGCAUCAGGUAACAUCAAAUCGUACCCCAAACCGACACAGGUGGUCAGGUAGAGAAUACCAAGGCGCUUGAGAGAACUCGGGUGAAGGAACUAGGCAAAAUGGUGCCGUAACUUCGGGAGAAGGCACGCUGACACGUAGGUGAAGUGAUUUACUCAUGGAGCUGAAGUCAGUCGAAGAUACCAGCUGGCUGCAACUGUUUAUUAAAAACACAGCACUGUGCAAACACGAAAGUGGACGUAUACGGUGUGACGCCUGCCCGGUGCCGGAAGGUUAAUUGAUGGGGUCAGCGCAAGCGAAGCUCCUGAUCGAAGCCCCGGUAAACGGCGGCCGUAACUAUAACGGUCCUAAGGUAGCGAAAUUCCUUGUCGGGUAAGUUCCGACCUGCACGAAUGGCGUAAUGAUGGCCAGGCUGUCUCCACCCGAGACUCAGUGAAAUUGAACUCGCUGUGAAGAUGCAGUGUACCCGCGGCAAGACGGAAAGACCCCGUGAACCUUUACUAUAGCUUGACACUGAACAUUGAGCCUUGAUGUGUAGGAUAGGUGGGAGGCUUUGAAGCGUGGACGCCAGUCUGCGUGGAGCCGACCUUGAAAUACCACCCUUUAAUGUUUGAUGUUCUAACGUGGACCCGUAAUCCGGGUUGCGGACAGUGUCUGGUGGGUAGUUUGACUGGGGCGGUCUCCUCCUAAAGAGUAACGGAGGAGCACGAAGGUUGGCUAAUCCUGGUCGGACAUCAGGAGGUUAGUGCAAUGGCAUAAGCCAGCUUGACUGCGAGCGUGACGGCGCGAGCAGGUGCGAAAGCAGGUCAUAGUGAUCCGGUGGUUCUGAAUGGAAGGGCCAUCGCUCAACGGAUAAAAGGUACUCCGGGGAUAACAGGCUGAUACCGCCCAAGAGUUCAUAUCGACGGCGGUGUUUGGCACCUCGAUGUCGGCUCAUCACAUCCUGGGGCUGAAGUAGGUCCCAAGGGUAUGGCUGUUCGCCAUUUAAAGUGGUACGCGAGCUGGGUUUAGAACGUCGUGAGACAGUUCGGUCCCUAUCUGCCGUGGGCGCUGGAAGACUGAGGGGGGCUGCUCCUAGUACGAGAGGACCGGAGUGGACGCAUCACUGGUGUUCGGGUUGUCAUGCCAAUGGCACUGCCCGGUAGCUAAAUGCGGAAAAGAUAAGUGCUGAAAGCAUCUAAGCACGAAACUUGCCCCGAGAUGAGUCUUCCCUGAGACUUUGAGUCUCCUGAAGGAACGUUAAAGACGAUGACGUUGAUAGGCCGGGUGUGUAAGCGCAGCGAUGCGUUGAGCUAACCGGUACUAAUGAACCGUGAGGCUUAACCUUACAACGCCGAAGGUGUUU
This 1390-nucleotide ribosomal RNA is filed under the name Salmonella enterica. Its description in RNAcentral is "partial 23S ribosomal RNA". It matches the Rfam family "Bacterial large subunit ribosomal RNA", at positions 1577 to 2925 of the family's 2925-position model. The record is from RNAcentral. Lineage: Bacteria; Pseudomonadati; Pseudomonadota; Gammaproteobacteria; Enterobacterales; Enterobacteriaceae.